This 253-nucleotide ribosomal RNA is filed under the name uncultured bacterium. RNAcentral's name for it is "partial 16S ribosomal RNA". It matches the Rfam family "Bacterial small subunit ribosomal RNA", at positions 524 to 776 of the family's 1533-position model. The record is from RNAcentral.
UACAGAGGGGGCAAGCGUUGUUCGGAAUUACUGGGCGUAAAGGGCGCGUAGGCGGCCUUCUAAGUCAGACGUGAAAUCCCCCGGCUCAACUGGGGAACUGCACGGGAAACAGCAGGGCUUGAGUUCGGGAGAGGGAAGCGGAAUUCCGGGUGUAGCGGUGAAAUGCGUAGAUAUCCGGAGGAACACCGGUGGCGAAGGCGGCUUCCUGGACCGAUACUGACGCUGAGGCGCGAAAGCUAGGGGAGCAAACGGG